CCUACGGGGGGCUGCAGUGGGGAAUAUUGGACAAUGGGGGCAACCCUGAUCCAGCCAUGCCGCGUGUGUGAAGAAGGCCCUCGGGUUGUAAAGCACUUUCAGUGAGGAAGAACGCCUGGUGGUUAAUACCCAUCAGGAAAGACAUCACUCACAGAAGAAGCACCGGCUAACUCCGUGCCAGCAGCCGCGGUAAUACGGAGGGUGCGAGCGUUAAUCGGAAUUACUGGGCGUAAAGCGCGCGUAGGUGGCUUGAUAAGCCGGUUGUGAAAGCCCCGGGCUCAACCUGGGAACGGCAUCCGGAACUGUCAAGCUAGAGUGCAGGAGAGGAAGGUAGAAUUCCCGGUGUAGCGGUGAAAUGCGUAGAGAUCGGGAGGAAUACCAGUGGCGAAGGCGGCCUUCUGGACUGACACUUACACUGAGGUGCGAAAGCGUGGGUAGCAAACAGGAUUAGAUACCCUGGUAGUC
This 465-nucleotide ribosomal RNA is filed under the name Vreelandella stevensii. RNAcentral describes it as "partial 16S ribosomal RNA". It matches the Rfam family "Bacterial small subunit ribosomal RNA", at positions 338 to 795 of the family's 1533-position model. The record is from RNAcentral. Lineage: Bacteria; Pseudomonadati; Pseudomonadota; Gammaproteobacteria; Oceanospirillales; Halomonadaceae.